CGGCGAGUCGGCGGGCGGACACCUGGCAGCGCUGGCAGCGCUGACGCCCAACGAUCCGCGGUUCCAGCCCGGGUUCGCCGAC
Molecule: transfer RNA, 82 nt
Filed under: Mycobacterium noviomagense
Lineage: Bacteria; Bacillati; Actinomycetota; Actinomycetes; Mycobacteriales; Mycobacteriaceae
Description: tRNA-Ala
Source: RNAcentral